Molecule: unclassified non-coding RNA, 337 nt
Filed under: soil metagenome
Description: partial contains 5.8S ribosomal RNA, internal transcribed spacer 2, and large subunit ribosomal RNA
Rfam family: 5.8S ribosomal RNA (bases 1-120)
Source: RNAcentral
GAUGAAGAACGCAGCGAAAUGCGAUAAGUAGUGUGAAUUGCAGAAUUCAGUGAAUCAUCGAAUCUUUGAACGCACAUUGCGCCCCUUGGUAUUCCAUGGGGCAUGCCUCUUCGAGCGUCAUUUGUACCCUCAAGCUUUGCUUGGUGUUGGGUGUUUGUCCCGCGUUGCGCGUGGACUCGCCUUAAAGCGAUUGGCAGCCGGCAUAUUGGCCUUGGAGCGCAGCACAUUUUGCGCUUCUAGUCAUGAAUGUUGGCGUCCAUUAAGCCUAUACAUUUGCUCUUGACCUCGGAUCAGGUAGGGAUACCCGCUGAACUUAAGCAUAUCAAUAAGCGGAGGA